RNAcentral lists this ribosomal RNA (885 nucleotides) under Yuccamyces pilosus. Its description in RNAcentral is "eukaryotic LSU rRNA". It matches the Rfam family "Eukaryotic large subunit ribosomal RNA", at positions 35 to 937 of the family's 3401-position model. The record is from RNAcentral. Lineage: Eukaryota; Fungi; Ascomycota; Dothideomycetes; Patellariales.
UAAGCAUAUCAAUAAGCGGAGGAAAAGAAACCAACAGGGAUUGCCUCAGUAACGGCGAGUGAAGCGGCAACAGCUCAAAUUUGAAAUCUGGCCCCCUCGGGGCCCGAGUUGUAAUUUGCAGAGGAUGCUUCGGGGUCGGCACCGGUCUAAGUUCCUUGGAACAGGACGUCACAGAGGGUGAGAAUCCCGUACGUGGCCGGCCGCCGUCCCCAUGCGAAGCUCCUUCGACGAGUCGAGUUGUUUGGGAAUGCAGCUCUAAAUGGGAGGUAAAUUUCUUCUAAAGCUAAAUACCGGCCAGAGACCGAUAGCGCACAAGUAGAGUGAUCGAAAGAUGAAAAGCACUUUGGAAAGAGAGUUAAAAAGUACGUGAAAUUGUUGAAAGGGAAGCGCUUGCAACCAGACUUGCUCGCAGUUGCUCAACCGGCCUUCUGGCUCGGUGCACUCUUCUGCGAGCAGGCCAGCAUCAGUUCGGGCGGUCGGACAAAAGCCCGGGGAAUGUGGCUCCCUCCGGGGAGUGUUAUAGCCCCGGGCAUAAUGCGGCCCGCCCGGACUGAGGACCGCGCUUCGGCUAGGAUGCUGGCGUAAUGGUUGUAAGCGGCCCGUCUUGAAACACGGACCAAGGAGUCUAACAUCUAUGCGAGUGUUUGGGUGUCAAACCCAUGCGCGUAAUGAAAGUGAACGGAGGUGGGAACCCUUCGGGGUGCACCAUCGACCGAUCCUGAUGUCUUCGGAAGGAUUUGAGUAAGAGCAUAGCUGUUGGGACCCGAAAGAUGGUGAACUAUGCCUGAAUAGGGUGAAGCCAGAGGAAACUCUGGUGGAGGCUCGCAGCGGUUCUGACGUGCAAAUCGAUCGUCAAAUUUGGGUAUAGGGGCGAAAGACUAAUCG